Molecule: transfer RNA, 77 nt
Filed under: Clostridium sp.
Lineage: Bacteria; Bacillati; Bacillota; Clostridia; Eubacteriales; Clostridiaceae
Also listed under: 6 other names
Description: tRNA-Met
Rfam family: tRNA
About the family: Transfer RNA (tRNA) molecules are approximately 80 nucleotides in length. Their secondary structure includes four short double-helical elements and three loops (D, anti-codon, and T loops).
Source: RNAcentral
GGCGAGAUAGCUCAGUUGGCUAGAGCAUUCGGUUCAUACCCGAAGGGUCGAGGGUUCGAAUCCCCCUCUCGCUACCA